CUGUUCAUGACAUUUCAUGGAAGUGAGACAUUAACCAAGGAUCGGAAUCCAGUUUUACUGUGAACGGGACGGUGUAGAAAAAAGAUUCUUUUAAAAAAAGAAAAACUUUUUGUAGGGAGGUGUACAGAUGGAGUGAGGUGAGCCAUGUGAUGGUCCACGUGGCGCUAAGGCGAGAAGCACCGGCACUGAAACGCAUAGGAUCUAUCUGCAGCGGUACAUAGCCAUAGGCAGAGAGAGAGGGUGAGGGUCGUGUGAAUGUGAAGAAACCAAACAAAAACGAAACGAAACGAAACGAAACGAAACGAAACCACUCACUCGUGUGUGUUGGUGGGUAGUGUGCUUGCUACUAUACCAUGGAUUCCCAUUCCCCUGUUCUCACCUCAACGACGUCGUUGUCGUCAAUGUCGAAGCGUCCGUGUCCGUCCCAAAACCCUAGAGCGGAGAACCUGGGAGAGGUGGAGCGUCGGCUUGAGGCGUUUCUCUCCCUCUCGGACGUGGCUUCUCUCUCCCUUGAUCUCUCCUUCGAGAGGCUCCUCCAAUCGGUCCCCUCCGACGCCGACUCCGAUCUCAUCGAUCGCGCCCUCAAAAUGGCCUCUCUCCUCCUCGACGCCGCCAAACACUCCUCCCGCAAACGCGCUUCCAACCACAAUUCCCUCUCCUGGCCCCUCCCUCCCGACCUCACCAUCAAGGUGUUCUCGAUGCUUGAUACCCAGAGCCUGUGCUAUGCUUCGGCUGCUUGUUCACUGUUUAGCAAAUGUGCUAAAGAUCCUAUGUGCUAUGCAAAUCUUGAUUUGACGACGCUGGUUCCGAAGGUUAACAAUGCAGUUGUUGCCACGAUGGUUCAGCGAGCUGGAAAGGCACUAAGGUCUCUUAAGCUUGGUGUUGUCCCUGGCGCUACUACUUCACUUGGAUCUUGUCCACCAUUUGCUUGUACCAUCAGAAAUGCUAUUGUAGAAGUAUCUAACUUUUCAUGGAAUGAUAAGAGAUCUCGACAAGGGAGAGAGUCAUCCAUUCUCACAAGAUGCUGUUUAAGCCCUUUAAGUGGGGAUGGCGGUGCCCCAGGGGCUCUUUUGAGAAAGUUGCACUUGUACAAUAUCGAGAGAAUGGAUAAUGCAUCCCUUGGUGCAGCAUUGUCAGCAUGCCCUUCUCUCCUUGAUUUGGAAAUUGUUGGGCUCCAUGUUGAGCUGAGGCAAACAUUAAUGUCAGUUAGUGCAAACUGCCACUUGAUAGAGCGUUUGUUUUUUGAGUCUUCUAAAACAGGUAGAGAUGACAGCUUGAAAGCGCAAACCUGUUUUGAGCUGGUAAACAAUUGUCCUCAUCUAACUUCUUUAUCCCUUAGAGGGUUUAAGCUACACGAUUGCAAAGUUCGCGUCCUGGUUAAGGGAUUUAGGAAACUGAAAUAUGUUGAUUUUUCAACAUCCUAUUCAAUCACUGGUAACUUCUUAAGAAACCUUGGAAGCUGCAAUGGUGGGAACUUACUUGAGGUCUUAAUUUUAAGGGAUUGCAUGCAUCUCAAAGAGAUGGAAGUCGCUAAGCUACUGACUGCAAUUCUUGCAGGAGAUUUCAAAUUGCUUGUACAUCUUGACAUAUCCAAUAGGGAAGGCUUAGCAUCUGAGGCUGACUGGUAUCACAGGUGCUACAACUCUAGUAUUAUGCCUAUAAAACAGGUUUUGGAAGCAAGACCUGAUAUGUGUCUGGUGGCUGAAUAUCCAUCAGCAGAAGGAAGUUACAUCGAGACAUUCGAUGCUGAUAUGAACAGCGAGAUAAGUUUGCCAUCACAAUUGAGCAGCCACACGUCAGAUGGAUCAAUUUUUAUGAGUACAUCUGAAAGCAGCUACAAUAGUGAUCAAGGAAGUGGCAAUGAGGAUGGUCAAGAUGCCAACUAUGUGAUAUAUGAGGAAAGCUCAGAUGAGAUUGACUUUUUGUCCCUCUAGGGAAUCCUCCUUGUGAGGCAUCAGUUUAGAAGGACAAUAAUCUAGUGAACUUGGGGAGCGGUAGGGGAAGAACGAUGCCACAGGAUGGAUGUCAAUAUGGAUCCUGGAUUUUUCAACUUUCAUUUUGUCCUUCUCUGUGUUUUGAAGUUCUUCAUUUUGUUUUCAAUCUGGGAGGACAAUUGGAGAUCAGUUGCAAUUUUUUAAAAGUUGGCCUCUGUUUCCAUAUUUGCAGAAACGUAAAUAUACUGCUGCUCCAUCCCACUAGCUCCCCCCCAAAAAAGAGGUUAUUUUCCCUCGGCAUCAAUCCAUAGUGCCGGGAUUUAUUUUUGGUUCUAAUGUAGGAGAGGUCUUGAGUUAUGAUGUAUCUUGUAUCCUUUUUUUAGUUAAUUCGCAAAUAAAAAUUAUGUAAACAAUUAUUUGUUUACUUUUUAUUAGUAAUAAUGGGAGAUGGCCAGGUCAUGGAUCAUUUCAUGAUGAAUGAACAUGCCCUCCGUUGAUGAAACACAUUCCUGUUCGUGAGAGGUGACAUCCUUGAAAAAUGUAACUCGCACUUGUUGCAUCGUUGCGUGUAGGUAUAAUACACAAAUUAUGUAAGUGAUGUAAUAAAAUUCUUCCUACUGGCUCCUAAACUUGACAAAAUUACUUGAACUUACAGUAAUUACAUAUGAAA
This is an RNA transcript of Glycine soja, 2604 nucleotides long. It is a transcript of the gene named F-box protein At4g02760-like, with no coding region annotated. The record is from RefSeq and is a predicted model, not a curated record. The transcript has 13 exons. Lineage: Eukaryota; Viridiplantae; Streptophyta; Magnoliopsida; Fabales; Fabaceae.